AGAGUUUGAUCAUGGCUCAGGACGAACGCUGGCGGCGUGCUUAACACAUGCAAGUCGAACGGUGAUCUUGGGUGCUUGCACCUGGGUGAUCAGUGGCGAACGGGUGAGUAACACGUGAGUAACCUGCCCCAGACUCUGGAAUAACCCCGGGAAACCGGAGCUAAUACCGGAUAUGAAGUGGAGCCGCAUGGCUACUGCUUGGAAAGUUUUUCGGUCUGGGAUGGACUCGCGGCCUAUCAGCUUGUUGGUGAGGUAAUGGCUCACCAAGGCGACGACGGGUAGCCGGCCUGAGAGGGCGACCGGCCACACUGGGACUGAGACACGGCCCAGACUCCUACGGGAGGCAGCAGUGGGGAAUAUUGCACAAUGGGCGAAAGCCUGAUGCAGCGACGCCGCGUGAGGGAUGAAGGCCUUCGGGUUGUAAACCUCUUUCAGCAGGGAAGAAGCGAAAGUGACGGUACCUGCAGAAGAAGCACCGGCUAACUACGUGCCAGCAGCCGCGGUAAUACGUAGGGUGCGAGCGUUGUCCGGAAUUAUUGGGCGUAAAGAGCUUGUAGGCGGUUUGUCGCGUCUGCCGUGAAAAUCCGGGGCUCAACCCCGGACUUGCGGUGGGUACGGGCAGACUAGAGUGUGGUAGGGGAGACUGGAAUUCCUGGUGUAGCGGUGAAAUGCGCAGAUAUCAGGAGGAACACCGAUGGCGAAGGCAGGUCUCUGGGCCACUACUGACGCUGAGAAGCGAAAGCGUGGGGAGCGAACAGGAUUAGAUACCCUGGUAGUCCACGCCGUAAACGUUGGGAACUAGGUGUGGGUCUCAUUCCACGAGAUCUGUGCCGCAGCUAACGCAUUAAGUUCCCCGCCUGGGGAGUACGGCCGCAAGGCUAAAACUCAAAGGAAUUGACGG
This 901-nucleotide ribosomal RNA is filed under the name uncultured bacterium. RNAcentral's name for it is "bacterial SSU rRNA". It matches the Rfam family "Bacterial small subunit ribosomal RNA", at positions 8 to 916 of the family's 1533-position model. The record is from RNAcentral.